Molecule: long non-coding RNA, 643 nt
Organism: Nasonia vitripennis (jewel wasp)
Lineage: Eukaryota; Metazoa; Arthropoda; Insecta; Hymenoptera; Pteromalidae
Exons: 3
Source: RefSeq, a predicted model, not a curated record
CUUGUAUAUGACCAGGCAAACUUGACACCUGUGGUUUAAGCAUGGAUUGCAAUGUUGCCAUUGGAUCUUCCAACUCACUAGAAGCAAAAUAUGAUUCAUUAAGCUGCAGAUUGCACUCCACUAUCUGGAUCUUCCAGCUUUUCCUUUAAUCUAGGAAAUGCUGGCCUUAGUGCCUCUGGGAAUCUAAGGAACACUUUGUACAUCAUCAAAACUGCCUUCUUUCGCAAUCAUUCAAAGUAAAUAUAUACCUCAGAUUCCAAGUGAAAGCUUUGACUAGCAGCCAAGUAUCCAAUCCUCUUGAAAGUGAAUUUUGAAGAUGACAUGACUUCUAUGAUAUUGAAUCCAGCCCAGCUGAUGUCAUAGCCAAGCAUUUGCAACUACAAAUUAGAGAGUACAAGGUACAUAAGCAUAUCUGAUUGAGUACUAAUCUCAUGAAUAAAGAAAACAUGGAUCUGCAAUACAUACAUAUGUGAGCUUUGCAACUGCAUUUGCUUUGACUGCAGUAUUGUCUUGUCUCAGUUCUAGUUUGAUUUCUUCCAUACAUUGUGCUAUAUAUUUUGCCUAAAAAUUAAAACAUCAAUUAAUUCAAUAAUCAAUGCACAAAGACACAAGUUUUUCAAUAAAAGUACACAUUGCCAAAGUA